Molecule: ribosomal RNA, 497 nt
Filed under: uncultured bacterium
Lineage: Bacteria
Description: partial 16S ribosomal RNA
Rfam family: Bacterial small subunit ribosomal RNA
Source: RNAcentral
GACGAGCGCUGGCGGCGUGCCUAAUACAUGCAAGUUGAGCGCUGAAGGUUGGUACUUGUACCAACUGGAUGAGCAGCGAACGGGUGAGUAACGCGUGGGGAAUCUGCCUUUGAGCGGGGGACAACAUUUGGAAACGAAUGCUAAUACCGCAUAAAAACUUUAAACACAAGUUUUAAGUUUGAAAGAUGCAAUUGCAUCACUCAAAGAUGAUCCCGCGUUGUAUUAGCUAGUUGGUGAGGUAAAGGCUCACCAAGGCGAUGAUACAUAGCCGACCUGAGAGGGUGAUCGGCCACAUUGGGACUGAGACACGGCCCAAACUCCUACGGGAGGCAGCAGUAGGGAAUCUUCGGCAAUGGACGAAAGUCUGAACGAGCAACGCCGCGUGAGUGAAGAAGGGUUUCGGAUCGUAAAACUCGGUUGGUAGAGAAGAACGUUGGUGAGAGUGGAAAGCUCAUCAAGUGACGGUAACUACCCAGAAAGGGACGGCUAACUACGUG